GAGUUAAAUGGUAUUAAUGAUAGGGACGGAUCCUGUAUUACAUGAAGCAAUGGAGCAACAAACUAUUAGUGUUGCAAAGGCACUGGAAAAUCUUAGUUUCUCAAGUUUGCUUCAAGUCUCAGUCCUCGUUCUGUAUUAACUACUGGAGUGGGUACUACUAGUGCUGGACUAACUGUUGCUGCUGUUAAGGAUGGCAGUGAAUGGCAGUUAGAAGCUGGUGCUUUAGUAUUAGCUGAUGGUGGACUGUGUUGCAUAGAUGAGUUUAAUAGUAUUAAUGAUAGGGACAGGUCCUGUGUACAUGAAGCGAUGGAGCAACACUAUUAGUGUUGCAAAGGCUGACCUUGUGUGCAAGUUUAAACACUCGUUCUAUUCUAGCAGCAACUAAUCCUAAGGGAAACUAUGAUCCUGAACUAGUGAGAUCAAUCAACUAAUGAUAGUACAGGUAUUAAUAAGCUAGUCCACUGUUGAGUCGUUUUGAUGUUGUACUGGUAUUACUUGAUAGUUAUAAUGAGGAAUGGGACUGAUUUGUUUUGUCAAGAAAAAUAGCAAAGGCUUUGCCGAACAAGGUAUUGACACAGUCGCAGAGUACAAUCAUCUCUCUCAAUACAGAGAAAAUUAUACCUUCCUCAUAUUUGCUACCCCUGCAACGGUGCAACCACACCUAUCACUUCUUUUCUGUUGAAUGACUGACCAUUAUGAACUCAAUACUUUGGACUGGAGCUUUGAUGCAUAAAUUCAAUUAUUAUUAUAAA
This 752-nucleotide long non-coding RNA is filed under the name Amphimedon queenslandica. RNAcentral's name for it is "uncharacterized LOC109580876, transcript variant X1". Lineage: Eukaryota; Metazoa; Porifera; Demospongiae; Haplosclerida; Niphatidae. The record is from RNAcentral.